GUUCAAAAAAAAAAAAAUUAUCAUCCGGGGUUUGCGCCACACAAGUUUUUUGGUUUUCAAGUGUGACCACAUAAGUUCCUAAGUUUCUGAGGGUAGACAACCAAGAAAGAGAAGAGGGGUUCUUGCACAAUGAAUAAAGAGAGAGUGACCAGGAGAGACGAGGGGUUUCUGGCAAUGUUCACGGCAGUCUCGCCGGCCAUCUACUAUGGUGUAACCAACAAUAACGAAGAUUCUUGAGUUGUAGGUGUAAAUCGGAGGAGCUAAGCGGUGAUGUUGGUGUUUAAUUGAAGAAACCCUAAGCCACAACAACCCAUCAUCUCUAAUCGGAGUUAACAGAAAGUGAUCGACGAGAUUAGGUGUUUUUGUGGCAAGUUCGUGUUCUUGAUAUUCAGCAACAGAGACGAAGGAGACAACCACGCUGACAACAGCGAUGGUUAUCUAGGGUUCCAAAUGUUGGUCGAUGGCGACGAUAGUUCCCGCGAAGACCUAGACGCCGACUCCCGAGAUGGCGAUUGGAACUCCGGCAAGCCACUUACAUGUCGUUAAGAGUACAGAAAACAUAAGGUUCGUAGGUUCGGUCAAGUUUGUUGUGCAUUAUUUUUUUCAUUAAGGUGUUAAAUAUAUGUACCGAUUUUCUGAAUACGUGCUUUUGAGUUGCUUUCGUAGGUGUUGAUUUUGUAUAAAAUCACUCAAAUGUAUAACCUUUAUGUGAAAUUUAUGGUUCCACAAAUGUACACAUGGUUAAUAGUGUUCUCUUGUGCGUUAAUUUGGUUUUGUAACAUUUUACUAAUGUUUUAUUCAAA
This is a long non-coding RNA of Helianthus annuus (common sunflower), 803 nucleotides long. RefSeq lists it as uncharacterized. The transcript has 2 exons. Lineage: Eukaryota; Viridiplantae; Streptophyta; Magnoliopsida; Asterales; Asteraceae. The record is from RefSeq and is a predicted model, not a curated record.